UGUUAGACAUUUAUUUCACUUCCUCCCGUCGUCAGAUGUUUAGGUGUUCGCUCUUGUUGUGCACAAAGCUUGCACUGGACCAUGUCCGGUGUUGGCGAGCUUCUGAGCAAAGCAAGUGAGAGAGAGGAGAGGUUGAGAAAGACGGAGGAGUUUCUAGCCAAGCAUCUCCACGAUCGCUUGUUUGUGGACUACUUCAAUGUUUUUCUCAACUUGCCGGUGUUUGGUCAAAGAAUGCUGCUCAAGCUGCACGAUGGACACUUUAUAUUUGACCCUCCAGUUUUCACAGAAGUGAAUCAUGACAGGAUAGUAGCAUGGAUAGCUGCGCGCAGGUUUCACCUGUUUACAAAGACACACCUCUUUCUGGAAUAUCAGCUGUGCCAUAAACUGCAAAACCUCGACUUUGAGCUGCGGUUCUAUGAUUCUGCUCGCAGUAGGCGGACCCAUCAUGUACUGCAGGUGUUUGCAAACAACCUGCUGGGUAGCGUGGCUGGCAUGUACCUGUUCCGUGAGCACCUCCGGAACUCCUCCGGCUCGAAAGUUUUUGGGUGCUGGCUACAUGUGCAACGAUUCCGACAGACGCGCAACUUGACGAAACGACGCGAGAUAUUCCACGAGAUCCAGCAGUGCUAUCUCCAUGCUACGGCGUUUCACAAGCUGUCCAACAGGCUGUGCAAAGUAGUGGCCGUGGAGCUCCUGUCUUUUCCUGUGGUGCCACAUUCUGAAACGGAGUUGUCAGCGCGACUUACGACUGAUCACUAUGUGCCCUCAUGCGAAGUCGACCUCUCGUCACCUAAGGCCUUGGGACUGGUGCAUCGAGUGCUUCUGGAAGCCUUGCGCGCUUACUGGGCUCCUUGUUACGUCAUGCACGUGCUCUCCACCCAGCCCUUUACGAUACUAAAGGAACUGUUCAGGGUUCCAGGAGGAGACAUCAUUCUGUCCUCGAGUGAACUGAAAAUUCUUAUCGGAAGGUGCGCACUGUUUAGCAUCCAAGACGGUCAAGAUUUAAUACCGAAACAUGGUGGUGCCCAGUUUGAGAGUGAUGAGUGGAUCUUUUCCUUAAUCUCAUCUUCUUCAUCGACAUUGUCGUCAGCGUCUUCAUCUUUAACGCGUGGUAAGACCGGGGGAAGCUCCUUCGAUAGCGUUCACUGCGUGGAAUCAAGUGACCAGAAGCUCUUGUCACGACUGUGCUCCUCAUUCUUGUCAUCAGAGCGACAGACGACCUUAACCCCUGUGGAGGAGUGUGGGCAACCUAAGUCUGCAGAUCUUUUGAAUUUACCCUCAGAUAAAGGAGAAACUUCGUCUGCAGUCUCUUUGCUUAGAGACGAUAAAGUACAAGUAGAAGUCUCUCGGCAUCACGAUGACACCAGCGACGAGGAGCUGGCAGAGGUGUGUGCUAUCGGAGAAUUACUGGACACUGGAGACGACUCCAACCAGCCGGUAUAUGAUGAUGAGGAUGAUGACAAGAGCAAGGACUCCAAACCAGUCCCCUUGCCCAGCGCUGCCCGCCGUUUGGAACCGGCUUCCUCAAGCUUGCCAAGAGAAAGUUUGGAGGGUACAACAGCUACCAGAGAGGACACCCGUGGCACAAGCGGCAAGUCCAAGGUGUCAGACGAGCUGGAAGACGACGACAGAAGGUUGAGGUUGAACCUGACGAUUCUGGCGCUGAAGGAGAUGAGCUUCAAGCCCGAACCCAUGCUUUACCUCAACCAGCUGCUGCGGCAUUACCUCUUCGGCUAUCGACACCUGGACCAAGAGAAGCCAGUGACUGACAGACGAACCCUGUGCCUGCUGGCUUGCGACGACUUGGCCGGCAGUCCGUUCCGUUCUUACCUGCGUGGUCAGGACCCGCGGCUGCAUCUCAGCUACUUUGACUUCUGGUCAGCUAUGCGCCGAUAUCAGCAGCUCCACGACCUGUAUCGAAUGGGAAACACCAUGAAUACUAAGUAUGGUCCUCCCAUCGCUAGCUUGCGAACACAGCACAUUCUUUAUAUGGUCAACAGAUUUUUUAUGGGCAGUGGUCUUGACGCUAAGAUCUUACAAUAUAGAAUUCGAAUUAAUAUUCUGGAGGACAUGAAGGCAGCCAGAUGGUCACCCCUCAUCAACUCAACUUUGGAUGUCGUGUCCAAUGUUCUCGGUAUCCCCAUGAUGCAGUUCAUCCUCAACGACAGACAAGAUUUUCGAAAGCACGCGAUCGAUUCCGGAACCUUCGAGGUCAAGCCAAAGCAGGGUCCAAAAGACAAAGUUGUAAUAGAAUCGGGUCUUCCGAAAGUCUUUAAUUCUUUGCUGAAGCGGGGAACCGAGGCGGCUUCGCAAGGAGCGUUUGCUAAUCGCCGCUGUCUCUCAGAUCCCUGGAGAGAGGAUCCCAAACACGAUCCAGAUGGAGACAUGGAAUGUCUGCGACCCACGGAUUCUCGUGGCACCAAGUAUAACGGCGUUGUGGGUGUCCUGGGCGAACAGCAUCGCUUGCUGGCCUUUCAGUUUCUUAUCGUCCUGCGAGAAGACCUACCAGACGCACAGGUCUGUGAUGUGGCUUCUUUGGCAAGAAUUGUGCGGUCUGACUAUGGUAGCUUGCACAUUCAUUGCCCUUCUCCUGUCAAAACCAAUUAUCUAACCAUCCUUCGACCCGAAAGGCGGACUUUUAGCACGACGUGGCUAAAACAAUCCUCUUUGCCCCAAAAUGUUCCUCUUCGGACCACUUUCAGCAGGCUUAGUACAACUGUAAAUGUGCGCCAGCUUCUACAGAUAAGACAAAAUAGAGAAAGCUCAUCGUUUGUAUUACCCCCAAAGCCAAGACAUUCUGGCGGACGAGACGCAGUUCCAAGCCUUCAAGAAGUAUUUACGAGGUAAAGACCAGGCACAAAUCCUCUCAUUCUGCGAAGAUGUACAAGACGCUCGGAGAGUUGAAAAUUCCAGUGACCGGGACAUGAUUGUACAGAAAAUUGUAGAGUACCACUUCAAAGCCGGUGGUGAGGUUGCAAACUUAAUCAAACAGAUGGGCUUAAGCGUGUCGGGCAUUAAAAAAGGAGACCUCCCAGCUUUGAUUAAAGCUCAGUUAGCUUUGGAGAAGCAGAUACAAGAUAAAUG
RNAcentral lists this unclassified non-coding RNA (3084 nucleotides) under Pomacea canaliculata. RNAcentral describes it as "uncharacterized LOC112576827, transcript variant X2". Lineage: Eukaryota; Metazoa; Mollusca; Gastropoda; Architaenioglossa; Ampullariidae. The record is from RNAcentral.